UAAUAUCUUUAAGCGGCUGGGUCGAAAGACUACGAGGCGAAGGUUAUCGAGUUAUCAGCGGGUGCCUUCAGGUUCAUGUAUAAACCUAAAUGAGAUUACAAAUACACAGAGUAUCUCUAAAUACAUUU
RNAcentral lists this non-coding RNA (128 nucleotides) under Candidatus Zhuqueibacterota. RNAcentral's name for it is "Candidate division GlcN6P sequence". It matches the Rfam family "glmS glucosamine-6-phosphate activated ribozyme aptamer". Rfam says of the family: This entry contains a glucosamine-6-phosphate activated ribozyme that is found in the mRNA for GlmS. GlmS is an enzyme that uses fructose-6-phosphate and glutamine to generate glucosamine-6-phosphate. The ribozyme catalyses self cleavage of the glmS mRNA that is thought to regulate GlmS activity. The record is from RNAcentral. Lineage: Bacteria; Pseudomonadati.